CGCCAUCACCCAUCUUCUCUGGUUGUCGGUCGAGUCAGAGGGGCUGCUUAAGCGGGAGAUAUCCCGACUCAAGCGCCGAUGACACGUCACCGGUGAGGAGCUUGAAAGAAUGGAUCUCAACCGCACUAUAUGAAGCUUCGGGAGGGAAGGAAAGACUAAGAGUGCUCAGCGGAAUCAUAGGAGCUCUUGGAGCAUGCACAUGCGACUGGAUGCAACAGGCGAGCUCAAACUGCUUGAGUUCGUCGGCCAUGGCGGCGGCCGUUCUCGGAGCUCGCGGGGAUGACGCUAUAGUGCAAAUUAAAGCAGAGGAGAUGGGGGAAAUCAAAGAGGGAGAAAACGACCCGAGAAAGAUUGCAACAAGACCAUUGUUGUAGAUAAAUGAGCGCAAUAUUGAGUUUGUUGCAGAGAUCAACGACUACUUGACACUCCAUCCAACGGCUACUGAGACGGCCGAUCUUUUCAGAUUAUCCGUCGAUCAACGCGUAGCGCUGCCCUUAUUACAUUGGAAUGGUGAUUUUCUUGAUAAAACAACAAUGUGACAUAAAACUCCAACCAAAAUGGUGCUUCAGUCCGAUGGCUUCUACAUUUCCAUAUCCUAGAAGGUCACACAAGAAUUAUAUAGUGAAGUCAUGACCAGGGUCUUUUACAGGAGUUCUUGUACAUCACUCUCCAUAUCGGCACCUUUAACCCCUAUGUGAACAAAUGAAAAGUUUCCAUGUUAAAAAUUCUAUCUAUAUAAUUCAUAUAUCCACAUAUCCAUUGCUCGA
Triticum aestivum (bread wheat) is the source of this 767-nucleotide long non-coding RNA. RefSeq lists it as uncharacterized. The record is from RefSeq and is a predicted model, not a curated record. The transcript is spliced from 2 exons. NCBI's taxonomy places the organism in Eukaryota, Viridiplantae, Streptophyta, Magnoliopsida, Poales, Poaceae.